Molecule: transfer RNA, 72 nt
Filed under: Marmota marmota marmota (Alpine marmot)
Lineage: Eukaryota; Metazoa; Chordata; Mammalia; Rodentia; Sciuridae
Also listed under: 1 other name
Rfam family: tRNA
About the family: Transfer RNA (tRNA) molecules are approximately 80 nucleotides in length. Their secondary structure includes four short double-helical elements and three loops (D, anti-codon, and T loops).
Source: Rfam by way of RNAcentral
CGGGAUGUAGCUCAGUGGUAAAGCAUUUGCCUAACAUGUGCAAGGACUUGGGUUUGAUCCCCAGCACCAUGA